Long non-coding RNA from Athene cunicularia (burrowing owl), 434 nucleotides. RefSeq lists it as uncharacterized. The record is from RefSeq and is a predicted model, not a curated record. NCBI's taxonomy places the organism in Eukaryota, Metazoa, Chordata, Aves, Strigiformes, Strigidae. The transcript has 3 exons.
GGUCCGUCCUUCCCGUCAUGGAGGCAGCGCCGCAGGGCCAGCGGCCAGCCCCGCCUGCCUGGGGCGGUCGGCGCGGGUGGGCAGAGGCCCGAGGGAGCAGCUGGCAGCCGACCUGUGCCAGGAGCCUUGGCCGCGUCCUGUCCCCGCUGUGUAAAUCCAGGCUGAGGCUGCCAGCGUCAGGGGGUCUCCUCGUCGUGGUGUGUGAGGGCAGGUGCUGUGAAGCAAAGUCCAGGUGUCCUCUUCCUAAAUGAGCGAGAUAAUCCUCCCUAGGUGAAUAAAUCUGACCUGAAAACGGGCCUACAGUUAUAUCAAGAAGAACUGGAAAUACAUAGCUACAAAAUCUCAGUCUGCCACUGUAGAGAGCCUGUGCUAGUUUAGAACCUUGGACUGGAGUCAUCUGGGAUGGGACUGGGUCCUCUCUGUUGUUGACUUUC